GUUGGGAUGGUCGAGUUGGUCUAAGGCGCUAGAUUAAGAUUCUGGUCCGAAAGGGCGUGGGUUCAAAUCCCACUCUCAACA
Non-coding RNA from Musa acuminata AAA Group (dessert banana), 81 nucleotides. The record is from the annotation of a RefSeq genome assembly. NCBI's taxonomy places the organism in Eukaryota, Viridiplantae, Streptophyta, Magnoliopsida, Zingiberales, Musaceae.